UCUAGAAUAGUUCAGUUGGUUAGAGCGUGUGGCUAUUAACCACAAGGUCGGAGGUUCAAGCCCUCCUUCUAGUG
Non-coding RNA from Gossypium hirsutum (cotton), 74 nucleotides. Lineage: Eukaryota; Viridiplantae; Streptophyta; Magnoliopsida; Malvales; Malvaceae. The record is from Rfam.